AAUAGGCUUGGUCCUGGCCUUUCUAUUAGCUCUUAGCAGGAUUACACAUGCAAGCAUCCCCGCUCCAGUGAAGACGCCCUACAAAUCAUCAUGACCAAGAGGAGCAAGCAUCAAGCACGCACACGCAGCUCAAAACGCUUUGCCUAGCCACACCCCCACGGGAGACAGCAGUGACAAAUAUUUAGCAAUAAACGAAAGUUCAACUAAGCCAUGCUAUAUUUAGGGUUGGUCAAUUUCGUGCCAGCCACCGCGGUUACACGAUUAACCCCAGCUAAUAGGGAUCGGCGUAGAGGGUGUUUAAGAUCUAACAUAAUAAAGCUAAACUCCACCUAAACUGUAAAACCCUAGCUAAUGUAAAAUAAACUACGAAAGUGGCUUUAAAGCUUCUGAACACACAAUAGCCAAGACCCAAACUGGGAUUAGACACCCCACUAUGCUUGGCCCUAAACCUCAGUAGUUAGAUAACAAAACUACUCGCCAGAAUACUACAAGCAACAGCUUGAAACUCAAAGGACUUGACGGUGCUUUACAUCCCCCUAGAGGAGCCUGUUCCAUAAUCGAUAAACCCCGAUCCACCCUACCCUCUCUUGCUCAGCCUAUAUACCGCCAUCUUCAGCAAACCCUAAUGAAGGCCACAAAGUGAGCGCAAACGCCGCCGCCGCGAAUACGUUAGGUCAAGGUGUAGCCCAUGAGACGGUAAAAAAUGGGCUACAUUUUCUAUUUCAGAAAACCCACGAAAACCCUUAUGAAACUUAAGGGUCCAAGGAGGAUUUAGCAGUAAAUUAAGAAUAGAGUGCUUAAUUGAACCAGGCCAUAAAGCGCGCACACACCGCCCGUCACUCCUCUCAAAUAUAUUUAAGGAAUAUCCUAACUAAACGCCCUAAUAUUUAUAUAGAGAGGAUAAGUCGUAACAUGGUAAGCGUACUGGAAGGUGCGCUUGGAUAAAU
Molecule: non-coding RNA, 947 nt
Filed under: Macaca fascicularis (crab-eating macaque)
Lineage: Eukaryota; Metazoa; Chordata; Mammalia; Primates; Cercopithecidae
Description: 12S ribosomal RNA
Rfam family: Bacterial small subunit ribosomal RNA
Source: RNAcentral